Molecule: ribosomal RNA, 253 nt
Filed under: uncultured bacterium
Lineage: Bacteria
Description: partial 16S ribosomal RNA
Rfam family: Bacterial small subunit ribosomal RNA
Source: RNAcentral
UACGGGGGGGGCAAGCGUUGUUCGGAAUUACUGGGCGUAAAGGGCGCGUAGGCGGUUUGCUAAGUUGGAUGUGAAAACUCUGGGCUUAACCCAGAGCCUGCAUCCAAAACUAGCAGGCUAGAGUUCUGGAGGGGAUAGCGGAAUUCCUGGUGUAGCGGUGAAAUGCGUAGAUAUCAGGAGGAACACCGGUGGCGAAGGCGCUCUGCUGGACCAUAACUGACACUCAGGGACGAAAGCUAGGGGAGCGAAUGGG